Molecule: unclassified non-coding RNA, 407 nt
Filed under: fungal sp.
Lineage: Eukaryota; Fungi
Description: partial internal transcribed spacer region
Rfam family: Eukaryotic small subunit ribosomal RNA (bases 1-46)
Source: RNAcentral
AAGUCGUAACAAGGUUUCCGUAGGUGAACCUGCGGAAGGAUCAUUAACACGUAUCCACGUAUAUAUAACAACAUAUCAACAUUUACAACGAACUGUGCUCCCUAUUGACCCAAUCUCGUAGCUGUGCUAAUCAGACUAUAAUGGCUCUUCGUAAGAUGAGAUGUCUGGUUGGACUGUCAUUCCUUUGAGAGUGAGGCUAUGUAAACGGGAACUCAAUAGGCUUACUAACUCUAACUGCCCGUGGAGUUCAGCUCCAAUCCCAACCAUUUUGGGCGGCAGGAAGGACCCCAUAACCAUUUUCACCCUAUUUUACCCUAUUUGGCUAAUGUAAUAGACGAUCUAAUAUGGAUCGGAUUAAGAUUUAUCUUAACUAAGCACAACUCUUAGCAAUGGAUAUCUCGGUUCUC